UACAGGGGGUGCAAACGUUGCUCGGAAUUACUGGGCGUAAAGCGUGCGCAGGCGGCUUUGCAAGACAGAUGUGAAAUCCCCGGGCUUAACCUGGGAACUGCAUUUGUGACUGCAUGGCUGGAGUGCGGCAGAGGGGGAUGGAAUUCCGCGUGUAGCAGUGAAAUGCGUAGAUAUGCGGAGGAACACCGAUGGCGAAGGCAAUCCCCUGGGCCUGCACUGACGCUCAUGCACGAAAGCGUGGGGAGCAAACAGG
Molecule: ribosomal RNA, 253 nt
Filed under: uncultured bacterium
Lineage: Bacteria
Description: partial 16S ribosomal RNA
Rfam family: Bacterial small subunit ribosomal RNA
Source: RNAcentral